This 426-nucleotide ribosomal RNA is filed under the name uncultured bacterium. RNAcentral describes it as "bacterial SSU rRNA". It matches the Rfam family "Bacterial small subunit ribosomal RNA", at positions 356 to 773 of the family's 1533-position model. The record is from RNAcentral.
GGGGAAUUGUUCGCAAUGGGCGCAAGCCUGACGACGCAACGCCGCGUGGAGGACGAAGAUCUUCGGGUCGUAAACUCCUGUCGAGCGGGACGAAUGUUCCGCGGGCUAACAUCCCGUGGAAGUGACGGUACCGCUAAAGGAAGCCCCGGCUAACUACGUGCCAGCAGCCGCGGUAAUACGUAGGGUGCAAGCGUUAAUCGGAAUUACUGGGCGUAAAGCGUACGCAGGCGGCUUUGCAAGACAGGUGUGAAAUCCCCGGGCCUAACCUGGGAACUGCAUUUGUGACUGCAUGGCUAGAGUUUGUCAGAGGGGGGUGGAAUUCCACGUGUAGCAGUGAAAUGCGUAGAGAUGUGGAAGAACACCGAUGGCGAAGGCAGCCCCCUGGGAUGAGACUGACGCUCAUGUACGAAAGCGUGGGGAGCAAAC